UGAGACGCCUCUGGAAAGCGACGGGCCUGCCCGUCCGCCGACGGGGAAAGCCGCAGCUCGCGCCGCGGUGAAUCUCUCAGGCGCGGUGCCGGGCGGAGACAGAGGGGGAGGG
RNAcentral lists this non-coding RNA (112 nucleotides) under Pseudonocardia sp. RNAcentral's name for it is "Glycine sequence". It matches the Rfam family "Glycine riboswitch aptamer". From Rfam's summary of the family: This family represents the bacterial glycine riboswitch. Glycine riboswitches usually consist of two metabolite-binding aptamers domains with similar structures in tandem. Lineage: Bacteria; Bacillati; Actinomycetota; Actinomycetes; Pseudonocardiales; Pseudonocardiaceae. The record is from RNAcentral.